RNAcentral lists this long non-coding RNA (935 nucleotides) under Lactuca sativa (garden lettuce). RNAcentral's name for it is "long non-coding RNA (LSAT_LNC008356)". Lineage: Eukaryota; Viridiplantae; Streptophyta; Magnoliopsida; Asterales; Asteraceae. The record is from RNAcentral.
AAAAGGCUCAUAUCCAACACCAAUAUACAUGAUAUAUAAUUAAGAAAUCAACGACAGUCGGACGGAUAACAACUACCCUAAGCCCACAAUCAAACAAGAACAGGAAAUAAGGCGAGCUAUCGGUCCUAAGUCCUUCAAGUCUUACUUAUAUAAAUAUAUUAGUGUGGUUACAUUUUAUAAGAAAAUAUAUUUAANGAGUUAUCGGUCCUAUCUCCUUCAAGUCUUACUUAUAUAAAUAUAUUAGUGUGGUUACAUUUUAUAAGAAAAUAUAUUUAAUAAAAAUCUUGUCAAAAGGGAACAUUUAGAAAAUAGUUUAUUUAUCCAAAAUAGUUUUGAAAACGCAAAGUUCUUUUAUAAGGCAUAGUGAUAAAUCACAUGUGAUUUGAACUACGGAUAGUGAAUCACAUGUGACUAAUUUUCAUAAACAUGUAUAUUUGACUUGUAUCCCCCCCUAAAACAUUAAAAACAUUUGAAAGGUUCAUUAAAGGGGUAUGAACUCACAGUUUAUCGUAGGGUUCGAGUGUCAACGGAUGCCCUGAAUGCCAAUGGUCCCUAUAAAUCAUGUGAUGAGACAUAAUUAGGUUAGAACUAGGGUGUUUCAUGCAUAAACAUGAUGGAAAAACAUCCUUAGCACUCGGCAUUACUGAGUACAAGUGUCUCACGAUCCAUACUUAAUGAUUCAUGCAAGUUUAGGGCCAAAAGUAGGCAUUUGAGUGAGUGCAUGGCCAUGAAAUUGAGUGUGCGGAUGAGGUGUGCGGCCAGAAGGGUGUGUGAGGCUGCACACAAGUGUGUGCGGCCUUUCAGGGUGUGUGUGCGGCCGUUCAGAGUGUGUGUGCGGCCGUACGCAGGAGUGUGCGGCCGUACACUCCUCUUGUGAGUCCAUUUGAAGUGUUUGCUCUUCACACUAAGGAGAUUUGAAUGUGUGUUGCCCCCCU